GCUUUCGGUUUACCAAUUCAUCUACAUUCCAACCUUUACCAAUGGUCAUGAGCUCUGGGUUGUGACCAGAAGAGUUAGAUCACAGAACUAAGCAGACAAAAUGAGUGGCUGGGUUAAGGCUCAGAGAUAGGGUCUGUAGGGACUUUGUAGGAGAUUUGUUGCUCCUUCACUUUGAAAGGAGUCAGAUGAGAUGAUUCAGCAGUUGAUAAGGACACUUCCUGGAUGCCUCCCUUUGGAAGUGUUCUGGGCACAUACAACUGGGAGUAGCCCUCAAGAGCUAAGCUAAGAGCUUGCUGAAGGGAAAAACAUAUCCCACCUGGCCUGGGAACACCUCAGGAGAUUUGGGCUGACUGCUGCCCUGUCAAAAGUAGGGGGAAUUAGACACCUCUGUGGACCAAGGGGUUGUAAAAGUAAACCUGCUGAGAAACAGAAACCAAUGAAUCUUUAUGCAAAGUAUGAGGAGCGUUAAUGGACAUGCUGCCACUACUUGCAAGGCCACAUCCUCUUAGAAUCUCACGAACAGACAAUGAGUCAGCAAAAUGCACUGGAGCUCUAGGACCUACAUCACCUCUCCACACCUGGUCUCACUCAAGCCAAUCAGGCACUCACACACCUGAUUCUGCUUUGAAAUGACCCCCCUUCAACUCAAGGAAUUGCCCAUCAGAUACUCGACCCUGGUCAGGACAAAUAAAAUGGAUGGAUGGCCAGUGAUUUUGGAAACGCAGUUUUCUGUGAAGUGGAAUAGAAGCAAAAGGAGGAUCUUUGGUGACAAUAUGGAAUUUCAUGUCUUAUUUUUAUUGAAAUUGCGUCAGGAAGAACUUAACAAUACGGCAUCUUCAUUGAUAUCAGUUCACUCCAAAGCAGGCUGGUUGCGUGCGCACCUAGUAUUGUUUGUACACAAGAAACCCAUCCAUUCUAACAGCCUGUAGUCUUUUCAUCUAAAAGUUAAUGUAGGAGGAAAUAAAACAGUCAUUUUGGUCUAUGGUGAAUAUCUUGGAUUGGACAAAUGAAGUGCCUGACAUGGAUUCACAAACCUUUUUGUUUUAUAGCACGGUCAAAGUCUUUCCUGAUGAAUCCGUGGCCUCUCCUGUAGGUAGAAAAGUCACGCUGCCAAGCCUCGCCUUCAUCUUUCCAUCUCAGCUGGGAGAUAUCCUCAUUUAGCUAAAUUAGCUCAAGUCAAGCUUGGCUUUAAUGUGCAGACACUAAUGACGCUCCAAGGUUAAAGUGAGGAGUCAAGCAUUGAUUUGUACUGUCUGUCUUCAAAGUCUGCAUGGAGAAUGAAAAAGGAGGCAUCUUAACAAGGCCGCAUGACGGAGUAAAAAGGCCAACAGCUGUAAAAAAAAAAUCAAUCCAGUGCUUUAGCCGGGAUUUAUUCCGAGGGAGUCCUGUUCUAUUUUACGCUGCACAGUUUGGUAGGUGUGUUAAUGGCAUGUUAAAGUUGACAUUUCACAGCUGAUGAUAAUAAAUUAAAUACAAAUUAUCUGACAAUUUAAUGGCCUGUGAUUAAUUGCCACAUGCGUGCUGCUAUGACAUGCAGUGUAAAAUCGUUGAACCAUGAGUGAGAAAGAAAGGGGGAAAACAAAGCAAGGUGAUAAGUGGAGGUAAAGCGAGAGUGUGAGGGAGCGAGAGGUUCGGAGAUAGACUUGGGAGCAGCAUUUUCACCUGUAGCCCAUCCUUAGAGUGAGCAGAUAUGGAGAUUUGGUCCUGAGGUUGGAUGUGGUGAUGAAGUAGGCCUUAGAUAAGGGAUGUGGAGGAUUAUUCAAUCAAUCACCUGUAGCCAUAUCUUUACACAGCUUGUCUGAGCAGACACAGGAAGUAGUCUGGGCCUGAGGGGGAUAAGAGCGAAAAAAAUGAGACUGGGUCAGCCUAGUUCAGAGACGCUGCCCUGCAAGCAUUGUGUAGGAGAGUUUAAUAAAAGGAGACGGUGAGUGUCUGUGCAUGCUAAGCAGGCGAGUCAGAAAAAAGAGCUCUUUAUGAAGCUGUUGCAUUAAUGUAGCUUUCACAACAUUAUUCCAAAUUUGGGUAUCGAGGUUGAUCUGUUUUGAUGAAAUUUUAAUAAUGCACAAUACAUCUAUCCAGAGCCAAAAAAAAAAAUAGACGAGGUAACCUAAUUCAUCAUUCAUGAUUGAUGACCACUAAUAGCAUGUUCAGAGCACAUGAGGGACACACAUGAAUAGAUGAGUGCGUAAAGCAUAGCCUCUAUCUUAAAGGUGCAGGACAUGAUGAAAAAGUCAACAAGGUCAGUUUAACAUCAAAAUAUAAAGCUUUAAAGAUUUCAGCACCGGACCAUUGGUUAUUGUGCUAUCCCAUGAUUCUUAAGUUAACAUCUCUGUAGCUUCACAUAUUUAACUUCUCAAAUUUAAAAUCUGUCUAUGAACAAAGACACUGAACAGGUACUGUCAUCAAUAUCUAAACCUUUUUGAUUACAUUUCUAAUUAAACUGUUAAAAUGUGACAAAUUGGGUCUUUAAUUAGGAGGAACAAGAAGUUCAAUACAGUGAGUAAAAUGCUCUGCCAUCAUUGAAAAUAAGUCAAUUCUGGCUCAAACACAAAUGAAUUCAUUUAAAAGCUUAGCGCUGCCAGGAGAGUGUUUAUUGAUGGAUGAAUGGACAAAGUGUUGAAGUUUAAAUGGUCUUGUACCUUUCAUGAAGUGCUUCAUAAACUGUCGAUAUAAAAACAGCACAGGAUAAUCUUUAAAGGGAGUGGGUGCCAAAGACACAGAGAUGCAACUUUAAAGGCACAAUCAUCUUUGUGUUUUCAGUCUGACACAAGGGACAGGGAGUAGACCCUGAUCAGAAGAGCUGGUUCAUCAUGGAGAUACACUUUAGUGCUUGAUCAUGGUUGGCUUUACUAGGAUCUUCAAAUGUAUUCAGAAUUUGAAUGGCAAUCCAUGUAGGGGGGAUAAAACAGCAGUAAUGUAGUUUUUCCUGCUGGACCUGGUAAACAGUCUCAGUCAACAGCAGCUUUUAAGCUCAAUGGCAGACAGUCGAGUCAGCAUUUACUGAAUUACAGUAAUCAAACCAGGAAGAUAAACAGACAUGAAUCAGCAUUUCUAACUCAGCAUGUGCAGCAACAGACUGCAACCUCUGUUUUUUUAUCAGUAUUCACCCAUCCAGUCCUUCAUGGCACAGUAGAAGCCUUCGGUGUAAAAGAAACAUACAGUCAAACAUCUUCAGCAUAACAGCAGUAAAUUGUUUGAUCACAUAGGUAAAUUGAGAACUAUGUAAAGGAAACUUAAAGGGACCCAGGACAGAUCCCUGAGGUACACUGUAUCUGAAAAAGACGCUGUUUAAGACAUAUAAGGCUAUGAAAGAUAAGAGGACCGAUCACAGGGGCUCCCCACACACCCUGACUUGAUGUUAUAAAGGGUAUUACAAGGAGUUUUUCUGUAGUUGGAAAUCAACUAUAUUCCGACAAAAAAAAUAUUUCAGGGUCAAACACACGUAAAAUCAAGUUAGACACCCCCUCGAGAGAUGAAUUUUGCCGACUGCUUGCUCCUCUAGUUUUACCAACUUUAGUAACAACAGUACCAUAGUGAUACACAGAGGUCUGAGGAGCCAUAAACAAACCUCAACCAAGAUGCCACUCUAUAGUCACAAACAAUGCUCAGAACAGCACCUAACUUCAUCAACAGUACAUAUAGGGUCCCAGCCAUAGUACUAGCCAUCAAACAUUUUUUUUAACUUUGCCUAAUUUCUUUAGCAAAGAGACUUAACACAACUCACCUACUCUCUUCCAGCACCUGCUUGUUUGUAGGGAGACCUCAGGCCAGUCCAUUACAGACUACAGUGGGAUGACACAGCUCAAGGAAGAACCUUUAUGAUCAUUUCUUCAUUUCUUCAAAUGCAAUCAGAUUGGGACUCUACGGCAGAAGAACUAUUGCGUCUGCAGUGCAAAAUGAUAAAUAUGAGCUUCGUCACCCCAAAGUAGUCUGUAAUGGACUGGCCCAGGAUAAUGUACUCGAGGGGAUGUCUAACUCUGUAUGUUUGACCCUAAUUAAUUUUACGCCGGAAUAUCCCUUUAAUCCAAGUUACUGAAACAUUUAGGGGUAUUUGUUUUAAAACACUAUUUUGGCAUAUACUUUGGCAUCACUUUGUCCACAGGGGGCGCCAAAACAGACAGAAAUUAAAAUUUCCUUACUGCAGCUUUUAAAUCAGUCAUAAGCAGUUUGGCAUUGGCUUUCUCCAAAAUAUUAAAUACCAAUGAUAGUUUGAAGAUAAGCCUGCAGUCUUCCAGUGGAUGGGUCAAGGUUAGUUUCUCAGACGAUGGUGAACAGCAGCAGAUUUAAAAUACAAUAGGAUACAACCAGAUAGCAGGAGGCAAUUUAUAAUAGAGACUAGGCAGUCUACAAUAUCUGUUUCAUCUCCUCCUUUCCUCUCCUUUUCUAACAUCCCAAAUAAAAUCAGCUCUGACAAGGACUAUUUUCAUUACGUAACACAGAUAACAGCUAAAAUGCUGUGCCUGGUUGCAAUGAUGACAAACUAGAGUGUAAGAUUAUAAAACGGUUUUGGUUUUGAUGUGUGAAGGUUGAAUCACAACAGGCAGAUAAUGUGUUUUUAAAAACUUUUCUGUCAUAUAUUGGUGAACCAAACAAAAGGGGGCUCUUGAUAAGCUUGACAGCCAUGAGAUGAUUCUCCUCAGACUCAUCAUGCAUACUCUACAGAUGGAUCUUAUGUGUUUCCGCUGAGCUUGGAGACAUCUAGGCAGGAUGUCAGGGGACUCAGGCGACUCCUCAAAUGGAUUAAAAAGUUCAUAAAUCUAUGAUGCCGUCUUAUAUUAUGGCAUCAGGCAGAGAGCCCUCUAAACAAGCAGCGGGUAUUAGAUUUAACCUUUGUUUUGUCAAUAGAGGUUUGCUAAUAAAUCACAACCACUGGUGGGAAGAAUAAUUGUCAGACUGCAGCCAUUUUCACAGCUGAACUUUACAUCAUCUUUUAAAAAAGGAGCAGAUGGGCUUGGCAAUGGAGGAGUCCUAUUGAUCCUUGGUUUCAUUGAUUUCCUCUCUUUUUUUUUUUUUUGUCCGUGGCAAAGCAAAGGGAUGGGAGGCGCCGUAGCUGCGAGAAGGUCUCUCUCUGAAUAAGAAUUGUGAAGCGCUGGGCACCAAGGUGAGGUGCUGCAUGAACAAUAACCGCCGCCGCUGCUGCAGAUCGUGCUGCACUCCAGACUUUGUGUGCUCGGAGGCUCUCACUGCAGAUGCGCUCCUGACACCUUACAGCAGGUAAAUUGCAGACACUUAAUGAGACUCUGAAAUUAUCGGAUUCCUGUCGACUUGAUGUGGGAGACUCUAAUAGAGAUGCUGGCUCUGUCUCAAAGCUCACCACUAGCACCCAGAGUAAUCCCUGUCCUUACCGUGUGCAGGUGAGCAUGAAUGGGUCACCUCAUUAGAAGAUGAUAUUAGCGGUGGAAAACUUACAAUUUACUGCUGCAAAAGAUUUUUUAUUUUAAGUUUAAAAAAGGGUAAAAUUAUGCCGAAGCCCUUUCUUACAUUAAGGAUGACAUGGACAUAUUUGCCAAACAGUAAGAUAUUACACAGCAGUAAGGUCAAAAAGUAGAGGAGAUUCAGUCAUGAUCGGAAUCCAAGUGAGUUUGAAGGAACUGAUUUGGGAUUUAUUCAUGUUUGUUACUGUUAUUAGCGCCUGUAGUCAUUAGUGAUCACGUGUUAAAAACUCAUCUUUGCAGCUCUUUUAAAGCGAACGUUUCAAAGCGUGCAAAGUGCAAGAGUAGUUAAGUAAACCAGGCAGGCAGGGGUGGACUGGGACAAUGACUCAGGCCAGGAGUUUGACUCCAUCCUGGCCAGGCCAACACACAUCCAGCCAGAGUGAAUAUAAUGCUAAUGUGAAGAAUUUAACAUUGGCUACAUAACUGCAAAUUGGUUUUAAAAACUCCAUAUUAGUCAUGACUUUAACUAUUUAAACUAAGAAUGUAGCCUACCACAUUGCUGUUGUAUUAUGAUAAAAUGUUGAAAGCCUGUCAGAAAAAAUUCAAAGUUCUCGAGAGGCAUAAAACUUGGAUUAGCACGAACCACUAGCAUCGUAUCUGUCUCGGUGUCGGUCAGUGACCUUAUUAAACUCAGCUUCAUUGCAGCUUCAUUACGGUGUGCUAAAAGAGUAUAAAAGUGGUAUAUUUUCAGACAAGAAGGAACCAGGAACUCUUAAAAAUGUAAAUUACUUCAAAAGUGAGAAAUGAAAGAAAGUAAUUGGUUUAUCAAUUGAACUGAAAUGAAGCAAAAAUGAAGGGAAAAAACUCAAAUUUCAGUGUUUGUAUUUUGAUUGAAUUUAAUUUUGAUCUUUAAUUUGUUGUUAAGUUUGAAAUUUGUGUUUGACACUCCUAAAAUCAGAUUAGUUUUAUUUUUUUUGUAAGAUUCAAGAACUUCAUUUUUUAUAUUGGAUGAAGCUAUUUAAAGUUCCCAUUCGGAACUUUUAAUGGAAAAUGAAACGGACUGAAAUGAGCAGAGAUCAUUAAUGCUCCUCAGGCUCUUUAUGACCUGCAAAAGCAAAUAAGACCAUCUAGGACAACAGAAGUUAUUCAUAAAAACAGGUAGAGACUUCCUUUACUCAUAACUUAAAGUCCAAAAACAUAAAUAUCCAAACAUCUUUACCCACGCAUAGACUCCAAAGCUACUCUGCUCGUGGCAUUGGCUUUAAACUCGGUUGCCAGGAGAAAAUGAUUUCCCUUUUUGGUUGAAUUGGCAUUUGAGAAGAUGCCAAGUAUCCUCUAAUUACUUUUUCUCGACUCUUUCUUCAGUCGAUGGUUUUCUGCUUCUACUGAUGUCAACAUUUCUUUAAUUUUAAAGAAGCCAAAAUCUGGUAUUGAUUUGUUUACUGUAGAAGAUGUGAAAAAAAGCAAAGUUAAAUGAAGAAUGGAGGUGAUGCUGGGAUAUAAAAACAGACUCUGAUCUGAAAUGAAGAGGAGGAAAAUAAAGUUUAAGGCUUUGACUUGUUAGAAGUAUCACUUUCUAAGAGAAUGACUCAAACCCUCACAUGAAAAGCAUGACUCAAACGAGAUGACACAGAGUUUUUCCGAUAUGAGUUACCUCCUCCCCGUGGCUGAUCUUCAGAGGUGGCUGUCUGAGGUCAGAGUGAUGUCUAAGCGAAGGUGCUGAGGGAAGAGUCCAGGUGAAAGGCCGAGCUGACAUUCACAACCACACACCGUUUCCUCCUGUCAGACUGGGCUCUCCUGGGACCUUCUCCCCAGCAUCAUAAGUGAAUAAUCAAACCCAGAGUGAGUCAGUGUAUUGAUAUGUUUCUUGUUUGUUGUUGCUGAAGUUUAAAAUAACCCUGGACCGAUGCAGCAGUCAGCUGUUUCCUCUGUCUGCUCCUUUUCUUCCAUACACAGGUUUCCACAACACCUUAUAGCUCUGCCUCACACAAAAAUCUUAAAAUAAAGCACAUGUAUACACACUCACUGGCUACUUGAGGAGGUACAUCUUGCUAGGCAAGGUUAGGCCCUCAAUUGCCUUCAGAACUGCCUUAGAUAUUUUUGUCCAUAUUGACAUGAUAGCAUCACGCAUUCAUGAUGCGAAUCUCCAGCUCCACCGCAUCCCAAAGGUU
RNAcentral lists this long non-coding RNA (7546 nucleotides) under Xyrichtys novacula (pearly razorfish). The record is from RNAcentral. Lineage: Eukaryota; Metazoa; Chordata; Actinopteri; Labriformes; Labridae.